This is an unclassified non-coding RNA of Pongo abelii (Sumatran orangutan), 117 nucleotides long. It matches the Rfam family "Metazoan signal recognition particle RNA". Rfam says of the family: The signal recognition particle (SRP) is a universally conserved ribonucleoprotein. It is involved in the co-translational targeting of proteins to membranes. Lineage: Eukaryota; Metazoa; Chordata; Mammalia; Primates; Hominidae. The record is from Ensembl.
GCCGGGCAUGGUGGCUCACGCCUGUAAUCCCAGCACUUUGGGAGGCCGAGGCGGGCGGAUCACCAGCGGCCAGGAGUUUGAGACCCACCUGACCAAUAUGGUGAAACCCCGUCUCUU